This 2391-nucleotide small RNA is filed under the name Pan troglodytes (chimpanzee). RNAcentral's name for it is "processed transcript". The record is from RNAcentral. Lineage: Eukaryota; Metazoa; Chordata; Mammalia; Primates; Hominidae.
GUAAUAUAGGUGGGCUUUUAGAGUGUGUAAUUACACAGUGUUUUUACACUGGUCGCAAAAAAUUUAUUUAAUCCAGUAAUAUUUGAAAAAAUCUUUCAUUUGUAUUAUGGGGUGAUGGGAAACUAAGCUUUUUUGUUUUGUUUUGUUUUGUUUAGACUUGUUUUAAAUAUUUGAUUCAGAUGGGAAUGUUUCAGCCUUUAACACUGUUCCCCUUGAUGGGGUUAUUUGUCCUUGGGUUAAAGGGUUGGAAAUCGUGCCAAAUGGGAUAACAUUGACGAUGGACUACCAGGGGAGAAGCACAGGGGAGGCCUUCGUGCAGUUUGCUUCAAAGGAGAUAGCAGAAAAUGCUCUGGGGAAACACAAGGAAAGAAUAGGGCACAGGUAUAUUGAGAUCUUCAGAAGUAGCAGGAGUGAAAUCAAAGGAUUUUAUGAUCCACCAAGAAGAUUGCUGGGACAGCGACCGGGACCAUAUGAUAGACCAAUAGGAGGAAGAGGGGGUUAUUAUGGAGCUGGGCGUGGAAGUAUGUAUGACAGAAUGCGACGAGGAGGUGAUGGAUAUGAUGGUGGUUAUGGAGGUUUUGAUGACUAUGGUGGCUAUAAUAAUUACGGCUAUGGGAAUGAUGGCUUUGAUGACAGAAUGAGAGAUGGAAGAGGUAUGGGAGGACAUGGCUAUGGUGGAGCUGGUGAUGCAAGUUCAGGUUUUCAUGGUGGUCAUUUCGUACAUAUGAGAGGGUUACCUUUUCGUGCAACUGAAAAUGACAUUGCUAAUUUCUUCUCACCACUAAAUCCAAUACGAGUUCAUAUUGAUAUUGGAGCUGAUGGCAGAGCCACAGGAGAAGCAGAUGUAGAGUUUGUGACACAUGAAGAUGCAGUAGCUGCCAUGUCUAAAGAUAAAAAUAACAUGCAACAUCGAUAUAUUGAACUCUUCUUGAAUUCUACUCCUGGAGGCGGCUCUGGCAUGGGAGGUUCUGGAAUGGGAGGCUAUGGAAGAGAUGGAAUGGGUAUGUAAAGUUUUUAAAAUAUGCAGGGUUAGCUGCUUAUCGAUGAGUCUCAAUUUUUUUUCUUUUUUCUUUUUAAAGAUAAUCAGGGAGGCUAUGGAUCAGUUGGAAGAAUGGGAAUGGGGAACAAUUACAGUGGAGGAUAUGGUACUCCUGAUGGUUUGGGUGGUUAUGGCCGUGGUGGUGGAGGCAGUGGAGGUUACUAUGGGCAAGGCGGCAUGAGUGGAGGUGGAUGGCGUGGGAUGUACUGAAAGCAAAAACACCAACAUACAAGUCUUGACAACAGCAUCUGGUCUACUAGACUUUCUUACAGAUUUAAUUUCUUUUGUAUUUUAAGAACUUUAUAAUGACUGAAGGAAUGUGUUUUCAAAAUAUUAUUUGGUAAAGCAACAGAUUGUGAUGGGAAAAUGUUUUCUGUAGGUUUAUUUGUUGCAUACUUUGACUUAAAAAUAAAUUUUUAUAUUCAAACCACUGAUGUUGAUACUUUUUAUAUACUAGUUACUCCUAAAGAUGUGCUGCCUUCAUAAGAUUUGGGUUGAUGUAUUUUACUAUUAGUUCUACAAGAAGUAGUGUGGUGUAAUUUUAGAGGAUAAUGGUUCACCUCUGCGUAAACUGCAAGUCUUAAGCAGACAUCUGGAAUAGAGCUUGACAAAUAAUUAAUUAGUGUAACUUUUUUCUUUAGUUCCUCCUGGACAACACUGUAAAUAUAAAGCCUAAAGAUGAAGUGGCUUCAGGAGUAUAAAUUCAGCUAAUUAUUUCUAUAUUAUUAUUUUUCAAAUGUCAUUUAUCAGGCAUAGCUCUGAAACAUUGAUGAUCUAAGAGGUAUUGAUUUCUGAAUAUUCAUAAUUGUGUUACCUGGGUAUGACAGUGUUGGAAGCUGAAUUCUAGCCGUAGAUUUUGGAGUAAAAUCCCUUCAGCACUUGACCGAAAUACCAAAAAUGUCUCCAAAAAAUUGAUAGUUGCAGGUUAUCGCAAGAUGUCUUAGAGUAGGGUUGAGGUUCUCAGUGACACAAGAAUUCAGUAUUAAGUACAUAGGUAUUUACUAUGGAGUAUAAUUCUCACAGUUGUAUUUUCAGUUUUCUGCCCAAUAGAGUUUAAAUAACUGUAUAAAUGAUGACUUUAAAAAAAUGUAAGCAACAAGUCCAUGUCAUAGUCAAUAAAAACAAUCCUGCAGUUGGGUUUUGUAUCUGAUACCUGCUUGGAGUUUUAGUUUAAAGAAUCUAUAUGUAGCAAGGAAAAGGUGCUUUUUAAUUUUAAUCCCUUUGAUCAAUAUGGCUUUUUUCCAAAAUUGGCUAAUGGAUCAAAAUGAAACCUGUUGAUGUGAAUUCAGUUAUUGAACUUGUUACUUGUUUUUGCCAGAAAUGUUAUUAAUAAAUGUCAAUGUGGGAGAUAA